RNAcentral lists this long non-coding RNA (220 nucleotides) under Salvia miltiorrhiza (redroot sage). RNAcentral's name for it is "long non-coding RNA (SMIL_LNC000967)". The record is from RNAcentral. Lineage: Eukaryota; Viridiplantae; Streptophyta; Magnoliopsida; Lamiales; Lamiaceae.
CUGAGUUCUACGAGUUAAAGCAAGGAAAGAAAUCUGUGGUUGAAUACGACAAGGAAUUCUGCAACCUGUCUAGGUUUGCUCCACAACAAGUGGACACAGAUGAGAAGAUGGCAGAGAAAUUUUGUGCCGGUCUGCGACACGAAAUUAGGAUGACUCUAGCAAGCCACGGAGGACUCUCAUACACGGAGUCUCUGAACAGGGCACUUGACAUUGAAGCUGC